CCUACGAGCGGCAGCAGUGAGGAAUAUUGGUCAAUGGCCGCAAGGCUGAACCAGCCAAGUCGCGUGAGGGAAGACGGUCCUCCGGGUUGUAAACCUCUUUUGUCGGGGAGCAAAGAGAGUCACGUGUGACGCAUUAAGAGUACCCGAAGAAAAAGCAUCGGCUAACUCCUUGCCAACAGCCGCGGUAAUACGGAGGAUGAGAGCGUUAUCCGGAGUUAUGGGGUUUAAAGGGUGCGUAGGCGGAAAGGCAAGUCAGCGGGAAAAUUGCGGGGCUAAACCCCGUACUGCCUUUGAAACUGUGUCUCUUGAGUGCGCGAGAAGUAUGCGGAAUGCGUGGUGUAGCGGUGAAAUGCAUAGAUAUCACGCAGAACUCCGAUGGCGAAGGCAGCAUACCGGCGCGCAACUGACGCUGAUGCACGAAAGCGUGGGUAUCGAACAGGAUUAGAUACCCUAGUAGUC
Molecule: ribosomal RNA, 459 nt
Filed under: uncultured bacterium
Lineage: Bacteria
Description: partial 16S ribosomal RNA
Rfam family: Bacterial small subunit ribosomal RNA
Source: RNAcentral